UGAGGCACGAAAGCGUGGGGAGCGAACCGGAUUAGAUACCCGGGUAGUCCACGCCGUAAACUAUGGAUACUAGCUGUUUGGGGUAUCGACCCCCUGAGUAGCGAAGCUAACGCGUUAAGUAUCCCGCCUGUGGAGUACGAUCGCAAGAUUAAAACAUAAAGGAAUUGACGGGGACCCGCACAAGCGGUGGAUCAUGUUCUCUAAUUCGAUGAUAACCGAUAAACCUUACCAGGACUUGACAUCCUUGGGAGCACUACGAAAGUAGAGUGUGCCUUUUGGAACCAAGUGACAGGUGAUGCAUGGCCGUCGUCAGCUCGUGUCGUGAGAUGUUAGGUUAAGUCCUUCAACGAGCGCAACCCUUGUGAAUAGUUGUAUUUUUCUAUUCAAACUGCCCCGGUAACGGGGAGGAAGGAGGGGAUGACGUCAGGUCAGUAUUUCCCUUACGUCCUGGGCUAGAAACGUGAUACAAUGGCUAGUACAAUGCGCCGCGAAGCCGCGAGGUGAAGCAAAUCGCAUCAGAGCUAGUCCCAGUUCGGAUUGGAGGCUGAAACUCGCCUCCAUGAAGUCGGAAUCGCUAGUAAUCGCAGAUCAUCAUGCUGCGGUGAAUACGUUCCCGGGUCUUGCACACACCGCCCGU
RNAcentral lists this ribosomal RNA (637 nucleotides) under uncultured bacterium. RNAcentral describes it as "bacterial SSU rRNA". It matches the Rfam family "Bacterial small subunit ribosomal RNA", at positions 747 to 1397 of the family's 1533-position model. The record is from RNAcentral.